This is a long non-coding RNA of Epinephelus fuscoguttatus (brown-marbled grouper), 775 nucleotides long. RefSeq lists it as uncharacterized. The transcript is spliced from 3 exons. The record is from RefSeq and is a predicted model, not a curated record. NCBI's taxonomy places the organism in Eukaryota, Metazoa, Chordata, Actinopteri, Perciformes, Serranidae.
GUGUCAGCGUGGGUUUCCUCCAGGUGCUCCGACAUGUUCUCCCCGUGUCAGCGUGGGUUUCCUCCAGGUGCUCUGACAUGUUCUCCCUGUGUCAGCGUGGGUUUCCUCCAGGUGCUCUGACAUGUUCUCCCUGUGUCAGCGUGGGUUUCCUCCAGGUGCUCUGACAUGUUCUCCCUGUGUCAGCGUGGUUUCCUCCAGGUGCUCUGACAUGUUCUCCCUGUGUCAGCGUGGGUUUCCUCCAGGUGCUCUGACAUGUUCUCCCUGUGUCAGCGUGGGUUUCCUCCAGGUGCUCAGACAUGUUCUCCCCGUGUCAGCGUGGGUUUCCUCCAGGUGCUCUGACAUGUUCUCCCGGUGUCAGCGUGGGUUUCCUCCAGGUGCUCUGACAUGUUCUCCCCGUGUCAGCGUGGGUUUCCUCCAGGUGCUCUGACAUGUUCUCCCUGUGUCAGCGUGGGUUUCCUCCAGGUGCUCUGACAUGUUCUCCCUGUGUCAGUGUGGGUUUCCUCCAGGUGCUCUGACAUGUUCUCCCUGUGUCAGCGUGGGUUUCCUCCAGGUGCUCCGACAUGUUCUCCCCGUGUCAGCGUGGGUUUCCUCCAGGUGCUCUGACAUGUUCUCCCCGUGUCAGCGUGGGUUUCCUCCAGGUGCUCUGACAUGUUCUCCCCGUGUCAGCGUGGGUUUCCUCCAGGUGCUCUGACAUGUUCUCCCCGUGUCAGCGUGGGUUUCCUCCAGGUGCUCUGACAUGUUCUCCCCGUGUCAGCGUGGGUUUCCUCCAGGUGCU